This 102-nucleotide Y RNA is filed under the name Saimiri boliviensis boliviensis (Bolivian squirrel monkey). RNAcentral describes it as "Y RNA (ENSSBOG00000005928.1)". It matches the Rfam family "Y RNA". From Rfam's summary of the family: Y RNAs are components of the Ro ribonucleoprotein particle (Ro RNP), in association with Ro60 and La proteins. The Y RNAs and Ro60 and La proteins are well conserved, but the function of the Ro RNP is not known. The record is from Rfam by way of RNAcentral. Lineage: Eukaryota; Metazoa; Chordata; Mammalia; Primates; Cebidae.
GGCUAGUCCGAGUGCAGUGGUGUUUACAACUAAUUGAUCACAACCAGUUACAGAUUUCUUUGUUCCUUCUCCCCUCCCACUGCUUCACUUGACUAGCCUUUA